RNAcentral lists this non-coding RNA (45 nucleotides) under Schistosoma curassoni. Lineage: Eukaryota; Metazoa; Platyhelminthes; Trematoda; Strigeidida; Schistosomatidae. The record is from RNAcentral.
AUCCAGCUGACAAGUCGCAAACAGGACGAAACGCGCAUCUCGGAU